CGCACUCAAUGUAGUAAUUCUAGGGCUUCUCCCCAAACUCAACCCUAAAUCUAUCUGCGCACAACCUUUAUCAGAUCGAAAACUCCCAAUCUCUAGUCCAAACCUUUCAACCUCUUGCACAAUUCGAAACUCUUUCUAAAUUUUCAGAUCUGCGUUCUUCUUUUUCGAAAUAAACACCCCACAAAUCAACGCUCUUCUUCAAGUGAAAAAAUCACUUGUACAAAUUCAGAUGCUCAAGCGCAAUCGCAUCUGUUUCUGCCAACUGUAGCCAUACCCUCAGACACAAUAUGCAACAUUUGGCAAGCUGAAAACAUAAAAAACCGAAGCAUCUUCAUCAAAUCGGAAUAUUAUGUUUAAAAAGGUAUGAAAACCGCUAUCCUUACACCUUAAUCUAGAUCUAUACCUCAAAUCAGACAAAUUUAUUAACCUAAAAUUGAUUUGUAGGGCAUGGCUUCAUGAUUAUUGUAAACCCCAAUAUUUUCAUCUAAUAUUUUUUUUCCGAAAAAAUCAUCUGUUACUAACUAAAUCUACUCUGUUGCUGUUUUACCAGAAUCAUUGUACCAACGAUUCUAAAACAAAAGUUAAGUAAUUUAUCUAGUCCAUUCUUAUUAUUAAUUUCACAUUGCUAAGAAAUCGCCUGUUUUCUCCUGUGUAUUUUUGCUUUAUUUAUGAGUUUUGUUACUAAUAUUACAAUUUUGGUGAUUUUCUGACAGAGCAGAAAAUAAUGAUGAGGCGAAAAAAAAAUUAUAUACGGAGAGAUGAAGAUCUACGAAAGGUUAUGAUGCAGAUAAGUAUCCCUCCACAUACACUAUACACAAAGAUAGAACAACAAUGAAUACCUGCAGAAAUUUCAUCUGCAUUUUGAUUGAUGCCUCGAAUCUUAAGUGAUUUUGUCAGUUUCCGCAUUUAAACAAACCUGUUUACAUAUAUGAAAAAAUUAGUAAAAACAAAUUGUAACGCAGUACAUAAAUAAAUAUCAGAUAAUCUUCAAUACAAAAACCCUUAUAGACUGAUGUGAAGAAUAUUAUGACUCUUUUAGAAAAAAUGGAAGCUUCUUAGAAUUGGUAAAAUGAACACUUAAGUGAAUCUGUUGUAACAAUGAUGAAAAAAGUGAAUCUAUUGUACCUGAUAAAUGAGAAUUUAUUACAGUUUUUAUUUAUAUAAGAGCUGGAAAACACAUCCAUUGAUGUAUCAAUUUCACGUAUCUCUGAGGUGUUUUUGUUUUAUAUAAAUUUCUUUAUAAUUUUGAUCGGGUUUAUUUUACUUUUUAUUUGGAAACGAAUUGCGAUUUCUUUGAAAGAGGCGGUGAUCUCGAAACAUAUACCAUCAAACUAUGAAAGCCUUGUAAUUUGGCUUGUUGAUGCGAAUCUAUAAUUAUUCUGAGCCUUCUGAUUUAAUCUUUGGUUUUGUUUGUUGUUUGCUUUGAAGAAACGUUUUUUUCCGAUUAUAAGGCAACAAAUUAGAGUCAUUGAUGCACUGUGUAAAUUAUAAUGGUGUUUUCAGUGCCGUGUGCUGCCGAAUCAUAAUUUUUAAGGUGCUGUGAUUCUGGCAUCAGUUUAUUUUUCCUUUGAGCUAUUGCAUUCUGAUGUGCCUACAUUUUUAAAUGUUGUUGGAGGUUGUAUUUCAUUUGAGAAUUUAUUAAGACACGAAUGUCAAUCAAAUUAUCAAAAAGGUAUUUCUGUCCAUAUAACUAGCGAUUCGCAAUUAGGGUUUUUGGCCUAAAGCUUUAAAUACACAUCAGUCGAAUUCAUCUAUUUCAUCGCCUCUCCCCAAAUACCUCCUCCUUUUCUUCUCCCUCUAGUAACAAUUUCGAUCACUUACUUCAGUUUCGUACAUACCGAUGAUAAAUUUAUGUGGCCGGUGAUGCAUAGAGAAUUGUCCGUACCAUCUGAUUUCGUUGAUGUAUUAAUCUCACAUAUCUCAAAGGCCUUUUUGUUUUAUAUAAAUUUCUUUAUAAUUUUGAUUUGUUUUAUUUGGAAACGAAUUGCGAUUUCUUCGAAAGAGGCGGUGAUCUCGAAACAUAUACCAUCAAACUAUGAAAGCCUUGUAAUUUGGUUUGUUGAUGCGAAUCUAUAAUUAUUCUGAGCCUUCUGAUUUAAUCUUUGGUUUUGUUUGUUGUUUGCUUUGAAGAAACAUUUUUGUUCCGAUUAUAAGGCAACAAAUUAGAGUCACUGAUGCACUGUGUAAAUUAUAAUGGUGUUUUAGUGCUGUAGUGCGAAUGAUAAUUUUUAAGGUGCUGUGAUUCUGGCAUCAGUUUAUUUUUCCUUUGAGCUAUUGCAUUCUGAUGUGCCUACAUUUUAAAUGUUGUUAGAGGUUUUAUUUCAUUUGAGAAUUUAUUAAGACAUGAAUGUCAAUCAAAUUAUCGAAAAGGUAAUUUUGUCCAUAUAACUAGCGAUUCGCUAAUUAGGGUUUCUGGCCUAAACUUUAAAUACACAUCAGUCGAAUUCAUCUAUUUCAUCGCCUCUCCCCAAAUACCUCCUUUUCUUCUCCCUCUAUUAACAAUUUCGAUCACUUACUUCAGUUUCGUACAUAAUGAUGAUAAAUUUAUGUGGCCGGUGAUGCAUAGAGAAUUGUCCGUACCAUCUGAUUUCGUUGAUGUAUUAAUCUCACGUAUCUCUGAGGCCUUUUUGUUUUAUAUAAAUUUCUUUAUAAUUUUGAUUGGUUUUAUUUGGAAACGAAUUGCCAUUUCUUCGAAAGAGGCGGUGAUCUCGAAACAUAUACCAUCAAACUUUGAAAGCCUUGUAAUUUGGCUUGUUGAUGCGAAUCUAUAAUUAUUCUGAGCCUUCUAAUUUAAUCUUUUGUUUUGUUUGUUGUUUGCUUUGAAAAAAUGUUUUUGUUCUGAUUAUAAGGCAACAAAUUAGAGUCACUGAUGCACUGUGUAAAUUAUAAUGGUGUUUUCAGCGCUGUACGUUGCCGAAAGAUAAUUUUUAAGGUGCUGUGAUUCUGGCAUCAGCUUAUUUUUCCUUUGAGCUAUUGCAUUCAAAUGCGCCUACAUUUUAAAUGUUGUUAGAGCUUUUAUUUCUAGUCAUAGUUUCAGAUUAAUUUCUAAUUUUUGAAACAUCAAUGAAGGAGGUGAGCCUCUGGAAUUCCACGUAAAAUGUCAUUCCUCAAAAGUACAGAUCCUGCACCAUACACAAAGAACACAACCAAAACGAACAUCAAGCAAAGAAAAGGAAAAAUAGAAAUAAAAAGAAACUAAGAAAAACAUGGGUUGUCUCCCAUGCAUCGCUAGUUUUACCGUCGCCAGUCCGACUAAAAAGAACUCUUAACCAAAGUCUGAUUGAAAUGUCAGUUGCUUAAAUGCCUGUGUAAACACACCCUCUUUAAUUACAGCUGUUGGCCCUCGUUAUGAGCNUACCUACAGGAAGCGCUGAGAAGCGCACAAAGCGCGCCUAGGUUAGAAGCGCUGAAGCGCGGGCUUUAGUAUGUAGGUUAGGUUUAAAUUAAAAACUAGGUUUAUUUCUUAAACAAAUGCUUGCCUCCCGUCUUCUCCCAUCCCUCUCGCGACCUUAACCUGUUAUGCCCACCAUCCGGCACCGUUAAAUGCUUCUAAUUAUGUUAAGGCGGGUAAGUAGUUUAGAUCAUCUAUCAUCUUUAAUUUUAUAUUUUUCAGUUCCAACUUCCAAGUUGUUUUUACUUAAUGAUUAAAGCUUAAUCUUUUUUUCAUAGGGAAAUUGCUUAUGGCCAAAAGACCACAUCUUUAUUGGACUCCAUGUGCCGCACAUUGUGUGGACUUGAUGUUGGAGGAUAUUGGAAAGCUUCCAAAGAUCAAGAAUGCCCUUAAGAAGGCGAUCUUCAUGAAUGGUUAUAUAUAUAACCAUGUCGGCGUUGUGAACAUGAUGAGGAGAUUCACCAAUCAAAGGAAUUUGCAUCGACCGGCGGUCACAAGGUUUGCAACUUUCUUCCUCACUCUUGCACAAUAUCACAAGCAAAAAUAUAAUUUGAGGAAGAUGGUCACUUCGGAAUUGUGGAUUGCUUCAAAGUGGCAAAAGGAUGCGGGGGGGGGGGAGAUGACAUCUCUUUUGUUUUGCAAGACACAUUUUGGAGGAAUGUGUUGUAUGCUCUUAAGUUGGUAGAUCCUCUUGUGAAAGUACUUCGGAUGGUUGAUGGGGAUAAAAAAUCGGCUAUAGGAUACAUUUAUGAAGCUAUGGAUAGAGCUAAGGAGGUUAUUGCUAAGAGUUUUGGUCAGAAGGAGGAGCAUUACAAAGAAGCUUUUGAGAUAAUUGAUAAAAGAUGGGAUUGCCAACUUCAUCGCCCUUUACAUGCGGCUAGAUACUUUCUAAAUCCGGAAAUCUAUUAUGAUAAUCCGGAGGGAGUGAGUUGUCAAGAGGUUGAGAAAGGCUUGUAUGAAAGCAUCCAAAGGUUGGUUCGCGAUGAAGCAAGUCAAGACAAGACCAUGGUUGAGUUAGAUGCCUACAAAAAUGCAACGGGGUCUAUUUGGCAAUGCAAUGGCGAUUAGACAUAGAAAGAUGAAAUCACCGGGUAAUAUUUCAUAUUUGAAAUUUCUAAUUGAUUUAAAAUUAAUUUAUAUCCCAUAUUCUAACAACAAUUUAUUUUUAAAAUGUCUAUAGCGGAUUGGUGGUCUUGUUAUGGAUCUUCAAGUCCCAACAAAUCUUUUGCGAUAAAAGUUCUUAGCCUCACUUGUAGUGCUACCAGAUGUGAGGGAAAUUGGAGUGUCUUUCAACAUGUAAGUUAUUAUUAUAUUUUACUUUUGCUAGAAUACAUAAAUUAUAAUUUUAAUCUAUUAUUUUAAAUAUUUUUAUAGCUUCAUACCAAGAAGAGAAACCGAUUGGCACAAGACCGACUAAAUCACUUGAUUUAUGUGAAGUAUAAUCGCACUUUGGAAAGGCGAUACAAGAGGAAAGACACAAUAGAUCCUAUUUUAUUAGAAGAGAUUGAUGAUAGCAAUGAAUGGUUGCUUGGACAUAUGGAUGAGGACUCUUCUAAUGAAGAUAGUGAUCUUGUGUUUGGAGAUGAUAAUUUGACAUGGAGUGUCGUUAGCAAGGCUUCGGGAGCUAAUGAUCCUAUUUAUAGCACUAGACAUGCAUCUAGAGUUGAUAAAGGAAAGGGUGUAGUUGCUUCGGGUUCGAGAAGACUCUUAGAUGAGGAUGAGGAUGAGGUUGGGAAGGAGAUGGAAGAGGACAUUGGCGAAGACAAAGAUGAUGAAGGAGAUGGGGAUGAUGCACUUAAUGAUGAUGAUUUUUGAUUAGUUGCUUGAGAUUUGAUUGAACUUUUAGACUUGCGUACUUUAAACUUAAGUAUUUGUGUGUUUUAAUUUUUAAAUUAAGUAUUUGUGUGUUUAAGUAUUUGUGGUUUUAAGUAUUUGUGGUUUUAAGUAUUUGUGUUUUUUGCUAUAAAAUAUAUUGUAGGUAAAUAUAUUAGAAUUUUUUGGGUUUUAGCGCGCCUCGCCUACGAAAAGCCCGCGCUUUCACCAAAAGCCCGCGUUUUAAGCCCCAGGGCAGUUUGCACUUCGGUGCGCUUCACGCUUUUUUAAACCAAGAUUUUGAUUGGUUUUAUUUGGAAACGAAUUGCGAUUUCUUCGAAAGACGUGGUGAUCUCGAAACAUAUACCAUCAAACUAUGAAAGCCUUGUAAUUUGGCUUGUUGAUGCGAAUCUAUAAUUAUUCUGAGCCUUCUGAUUUAAUCUUUGGUUUUGUUUGUUGUUUGCUUUGAAGAAACGUUUUUGUUCCGAUUAUAAGGCAACAAAUUAGAGUCACUGAUGCACUGUAUAAAUUAUAAUGGUGUUUUUAGCGCUGUACGUUGCCGAAAGAUAAUUUUUAAGGUGCUGUAAUUCUGGCAUCGGCUUAUUUUUCCUUUGAGCUAUUGCAUUCAGAUGCGCCUACAUUUUAAAUGUUGUUAGAGCUUUUAUUUUCUUUGAGAAUUUAUAAAGACAUGAAUGCAAUCAAAAUAUCGAAAAGGUCAUUUCUGUCCAAAUAACUAGCGUUUCGCAAUUAGGGUUUUUGGCCUAAAGCUUUAAAUACCCAUCAGUCGAGUUCAACUAUUUCGUCGCCGCUCCCCAAAUUCCUCCUCUUCUCCCUCUAGUAACAAUUUCGAUCUCUUACUUCAGUUUCGUACAUAACGAUGAUAAAUUUAUGUGGCCGGUGAUGCAUAGAGAUUUGUCCGUACCAUCUGAUUUCGUUGAUGUAUCAAUUUCACGUAUCUCUGAGGUCUUUUUGUUUUAUAUAAAUUUCUUUAUAAUUUUGAUCGGGUUUAUUUUACUUUUUAUUUGGAAACGAAUUGCGAUUUCUUCGAAAGAGGCGGUGAUCUCAAAACAUAUACCAUCAAACUAUGAAAGCCUUGUAAUUUGGCUUGUUGAUGCGAAUCUAUAAUUAUUCUGAGCCUUCUGAUUUAAUCUUUGGUUUUGUUUGUUGUUUGCUUUGAAGAAACGUUUUUGUUCCGAUUAUAAGGCAACAAAUUAGAGUCAUUGAUGCACUGUGUAAAUUAUAAUGGUGUUUUCAGUGCUGUACGCUGCCGAAUGAUAAUUUUUAAGGUGCUGUGAUUCUGGCAUCAGCUUAUUUUUCCUUUGAGCUAUUGCAUUCUGAUGCGCCUACAUUUUAAAUGUUGUUAGAGGUUUUAUUUCAUUUGAGAAUUUAUGAAGACACGAAUGCAAUCAAAAUAUCGAAAAAGGUUUUUUUGUCUAAAUAGCAAUUCGCAAUUAGGGUUUCUGGCCUAAAGCUAUAAAUACCCAUCAGUCGAGUUCAUCUAUUUCGUCGCCUCUCCCCAAAUUCCUCCUCCUCUUCUCCCUCUAGUAACAAUUUUAAUCUCUUACUUCAGUUUCGUACAUAACGGUGAUAAAUAUAUGUGGCCGGUGAUGCGUAGAGAAUUGUCCGUACCAUCUGAUUUCGUUGAUGUAUUAAUCUCACAUAUCUCUGAGGCCUUUUUGUUUUAUAUAAAUUUCUUUAUAAUUUUGAUUGGUUUUAUUUGGAAACGAAUUGCGAUUUCUUCGAAAGAGGCGGUGAUCUCGAAACAUAUACCAUCAAACUAUGAAAGCCUUGUAAUUUGGCUUGUUGAUGCGAAUCUAUAAUUAUUCUGAGCCUUCUGAUUUAAUCUUUGGUUUUGUUUGUUGUUUGCUUUGAAGAAACAUUUUUGUUCUGAUUAUAAGUCAACUAAUUAGUGUCACUGAUGCACUGUGUAAAUUAUAAUGGUGUUUUCAGCGCUGCACGUUGCCGAAAGAUAAUUUUUUAAGGUGCUGUGAUUUUGGCAUCGGCUUAUUUUUCCUUUGGGCUUAUUUUUCUGUGGGACGAGAGCCGGGUUGGUUUGGGGACGAUGGUUAGGCCGGAGUUCCGGAAACUUACCCUGCCGCUCUCUCUCACUCUUUCUCUUUUGGUUGUUUAGAUGUGUACUCUUUUUCCUUUUUACGGUUUUUCCCAUGUGGUUUUCCGUAAAAAGGUUUUAACGAGGCUCGGCCCUUAGACUGCGUUCUUGUGCUUUCAGGGGUUUCUUAGGUUUUUCUUUUUUAUAUAAUAUCGCAUUUUAAUUAAUUGCAUUCAGAUGCGCCUACAUUUUUCAUGUUGUUAGAGCUUUUAUUUCUAGUCAUAGUUUCAGAUUAAUUUCUAAUUUUUGAAACAUCAAUGAAGGAGGUGAGCCUCUGGAAUUCCACGUAAAAUAUCAUUCCCCAAAAGCACAGAUCAUGCACCAUACACCAAGAUCACAACCAAAACGAACAUCAAGCAAAGAAAAGGAAAAAUAGAAACAAAAAGAAACUAAGAAAAACAUGGGUUGUUUCUCAUGCAGCGCUAGUUUUACAGUCGCCAGUUCGACUAAAAAGAACUCUUAACCAAAGUCUGAUUGAAGCGUCAGCUGCUUAAAUGCCUGUGUAAACACACCAUCUUUAAUUACAGCUGUUGGCCCUCGUAAUGAGCAAACAACGCUUAUCGCAUCCAAUGAUUUCUGUACAACUCUUCUUUGGGAGCCAGAUUGAAAACUCCCCUCUUCCAUUUUCUCUAAAGGCAGUAGUGACAGUACACACUGCAAUCCUUGUACUACAUCAUCCUUGCGUUGCAACAUGCCCAUAAAUUCUUCUUCAAUGGCUGCCUCCUCUUGCAUUAUUUCAUAUUCGUGUGGCAACUUGUCCAGUGACUCUUCUUCAUCGGCCACCUCAUCUUGCAAGUUAGCAAGAAACUCUGCACAAUGUCGUCCUUGUCCUGCAUAAUAUCAUCUUUCUCUUGCAGGUUAUCAAGAAAUUUCUGCACAAUACGAUCUUCAUCCAAAGCGUCAAAUAUCUCAACAUAAGAACAAUUUAUCAAUGAAGGAUUAGGAGCAAUAGAUUUCUUAUAAAAAACUGAGAAUGUUACCGAUCUACCUGACCCUGCUAUACUUAAAGUUCCCGAUCCCACGUCAAUGCGAGUAUGGGUGGUAGCCAUAAAGGGCCGACCAAGCAGAACAAGAUGACCAUUCUCUCCUCUAAUUCCUUUACCAGCAUCAAGCACCAAAAAAUUCACCAGCACUCUAACUCCUCUCACAGUGACUUCGACAUCCUCUACAAGUCCUCGGGGACUGCUAAUGGAACCGUCAGCUAGCUCUAUUCUCAUAUCAGUGCACUUCAGCUCGUCUUCCUUCCUGCCCUGAAAAAUGUGCAAGAUUAUAUACUAAUCCCUCCAUCCGCCAAGAUUAUGUCAAAUUGCUUGGGCACAAGAUUUAAUAAAAUUGGUGAUGAUUUUAAUGUAGUGGAGAAAGAGUCCUACCACUUUAUGAGAUGUGUGGUUGAGAUUGAAUUGAGGUGAGUUUUUUAUAAAUAAAGGGUGUUAGUAAGGAUAAAAUAUUAAAGAGGAUGGUGGGACUAUUGCCUUAAAAGAAAGUGACAUAAUCUUGGCGGACGUCCGAUAUAGUAAUUGUGACAUAAUUUUGGCGGACGGAGGGAGUACAUGGAUUUAUAUGUUAAGAAAAGGCUUCUAGAAAUUUGAUGUGUUGUCAUGAGACAAAUGAAGCUCUUUUAAUUAAAUUACAAGUGUCCUUUCUUUUUAUUUUUAAUUCUCAAACAUCCUAUACGUAUAGAAACAUCUAAUUUACUUACUUUCCUCAUACUUCUCGAUAGAACACUAGUCUCGAAAGAAAGUGAAUAAUAAAGUUUAAGGUUAUCAUGCUUCUUAUGAUUUUUUUUAAUUCUUGAAAGUAUGUGUGCACAUAGGGUUUUAAUUUUAUGAAAGAUUUAUGUUAGAAUCAUGAUAUUUGUGAUUUGGUAUCAAAAAGUUACGUAUAGAGUUGAUGGCUGAAGGUGCCAUUUUCGGCCAGAAUUUUUAGUUGAUUUGUUAAACUCGUUUUCUUAUGGUAAAAAUGAGGAAUGAGAUUUUUAAUUUUUCUGUAGAUUAUAUAGUGUUGUUAGUGUUAUAAUAUUAAAUUUCAUAAUUUUCUUAAAGAAUUAGUAUUUUUCAAAAAUAUUGGAAAAUGGUUGCGAAAACUAUGAAAAAUCCCCUGUUUGGGAGUAGCUUUCACUUAAUGAUUCGUAAGUUUAAGGUCCUUUUGAUUUGAAACUUUUACUGAAUCACUUUAUUAUGUUAUAUCCUCAUGUAAAAUUUCAUAGAUAUUUGAGUUCAUCUUAUAUGUUCACUCUUAAUUCUAAAAAGGUUGGUCAAUAUCAAAUAGUUUUGCUAAGUUAUAGUUCAAGGUGUAUAAUCCCCUGUCCUUUGGUAUUUUUUUAGUUGUUAUUUUAUUUUUAAUUGUAAACUAGACAUUCAAGGUUUCUAGAAAUAUAUGGAUUAUAUUUUUAUCUAUUUUAUACAAUAAUAUAAAAUUUUCCAAAUAAGUUAGUUCUACAGAGGUGUUUUAUUGGACUAGUUAUUUUGGUUAAUGUUUCACAAAUUAUUUCAAAGGUCAUAUAUAGUGAUAUUAAUCUGAAUUUUGUUCCAUAUUAAAUAUAAUGCCUUGUGAUCUUGUGGUUUGAAUUUCAGCUGCAUUUGAUGACGUUUAAUAUUUAUUAAGUAAUUUCUAAUUAUAUGGUUUGAAACUGUCCAUUUUGUCCCAUAUUAAAUACAAUACCUUUUUGUCCAGGCUUUGAUUACUUAUUUCAGUUAUGUAUUCGUUCUGUUCUUUAAUGUUCUGUUUUUCUUUGUGCGCAAGUUUAUAGGUUAUCUUGUUAAGGGGGAAUAGUAUUCACCUGUUUAGUAACUUGCUUUCAUGUUCAGUAUUUUCUUGUCUUAGAAUUGAUUGUAUGUUUUGGCAUAAUAAAAAUGGGGAAAUUGUUGGGAACUUAGUGAAAUAUUCCUUGCCUAGUUUUGAUGAUACCAAAAUCCUUAAGUUUUCUUUGUAAUAGACUAGAACCUUUCGAACUCAAGUGUUGGAGUUCAUCUUCUAGUUGUUUAGUGUUCUGAAGAUUGAAGACUGAAGACCGGAGGAAUGAAAGAAUGAAGAACGAAUGACUGAAGACUGAAGAUUGAAGAACUCGACUGAUGGUUCGCGUUUCAAGGCAGAGUCAAACACUGAUGUCUGACUGAUCGAGUUUCUCAACUAAAGGAUCAGUUACGACUGAUUCAUUUAAUGCAGACCACGUGGAUUUAGCGGACUGAUACUAAAGUCAAUAUCAGUUAACAUUCUUCCUCGGACUGAACCUCCAAAGUUAAAGGAAGCCACACACUCCCAAGUACAGCGCAUUAAAUGCAGAGAUUUUAAGGAUCGUCUUCUCUGCAAAGCAUUCUUUUUGUGAUUACUUUUCAGAGACGUCUUACCCCUGUACCUGAGUAGCGUUUCUCACCAAACAAGGAACCUCGAAGAUUGAAGCCUCAGCAAAGUUUGAAUUUCUCUCCAACGGAUGAAUUCUUGAAGACCAUCUCUGCCAACGGAUCUAUUCAAGACCUCUCCUAUAAAUAGAGCUCGAGGAUCACUUCAAUCUUCACCGAUUCAAAUACACAAGCUGAAACGCUACCGAAAUCGCUACUCAGCAAAUCAAAACCUUCCAAAGUUUGAAUCGAAGAAGAGAAUCCUAAAGCCAAAAUUAGUCUACUACUGAUUACAUACAUUCUCUUAGAACCUUAGGCAAAUAUUGUAUAUCCAAAGCCUAAGUUACUGAUUACAGAGAGCCUGUUCUCUGUGAUCUAGUUGGCACGUUUUCGAACCUUUUUCAACUGACCGAAAGUGUUUGAGCCGAAGAGUUCAAACCAGUGUUCUGACUCCAAGAGAUCUUAGCAGUCGCAGGGUAGACAUUGUUAUACGAGCCUUAAACGGAGCAAAAUGCACAAAAUAUUUUAUUGGAUAAAUAGUUUGCAUUUCAUUAAUUAAAUAGUUGCAUAUCAUUGAAACAUUUAGAGCUUAAUAACUCAAUCAUACUUAUACAUUUGGAAAGAAGCCCACCUGGAUAGGCAAAGCCUGAAGAUCAUACACAUAGAAAUCUGACUUGGUAAAACAGCGCUAAUCCCCUAGGUUCUCAAAGCCUACAAGAAAUUCUAUUCUUAAUAGGUCUCGUGAAGCUAACUUAUAGUCUUAGUGGGUGUGCUUAAUUACUAUGAUUCUGUCACGGACACCUCGGCUUAAUUAAGGAUAACUAAGCCGGGAAGCCGCGACGAAGGGACACAGUUAUCGACGGCGAUAGAAAGGGAGUUUCUGUCACGAUCGGACUUAAUUAAGGAUAAAUAAGCCAGGAAAACGUAACUAGACACAGUUAUCGACGGCGAUAAAAAGGGGGACAAAUAAUAGAGGAUGAACUAAAAUUUAGUUUAAAAGGGAAAAGUUUAAUUAAUAACACCUGAUGUUUAGUCACAAGACUCGAACAGACUUGUAGGUUCAUAUAAAACUGGCUUAACUGAAAGAACAUAAAACCUAAGAGUACGCAGCGGAAUAACAUAAUCUGAUUACAUGUAUGAAGACAUGUAUCCAAGAGUUCAUUCAUUUAACUAUGACAAAAGCUCCGCUCUUCACUUCAUCUCCAUCAGCCACUGCUCAACCUGCACAUUUAGAAAUAUAUGCAGGGCUGAGUACGAGAGUACUCAGUGGGCACGUAUGCCUAAAUAUAAAAUACAUGCAUCAUAAAACUGUAAAUUGUCAUGCCAUCAUAAAGUACACAAGGGAGUUUUGUGAAAUAGGCCCAAGCUUACUAAAUUCUUUGUGAUUCUUAAAGUUGUCUGAUCAGACUAAGUUCUCUUGUAUUCUAUCAUAUCUGGAACUGUGUGUCGGAGGGGUGGCCACCUCUCACGAACACUUGACCGGCCAACCCGCUAGAUGACUCACGAUCAUUGGUGUACACUAGUCAAGGCAGGAUAGCUAUCAACUGCUCAAGACCCGAAUUCGAUUACAUCAUUGGCAAAGCCAAAGCAGAUAGAUAUCAUACUAAAAAUGAAACAUUUUAUGGCAAGACAAUACUUGAAAUAACUUGUCAAACGGUAGCAUUAAACUGUUUGUAGUAUAUAAAACUGAAAUUAACAGUUAAACAUCUCAUGCCUUCAUCUGUAAAAGAGGCCUACGACACGCAGGGGAUCUCCAUAUACGUAUAGUGAAAGUAAUGCCCACCUGAUAGCAAAGCUUUGCUUCAGUUCAAUAACUCCUUGACUAGCUCUUACUCUUGCGCUUAACCUAAUGCGAGAACAUAAGGUCAAACCUUAGCUCGAUGAAAAUUCUCAAAUAAAUGAGAAUGCGUAAUGAAUAUGCAUGACUCAUAUUCCUUUCUAUUACUGAGAUAAUACUUAGGGAAACUUUAUCACUAGUCCUUGUUAUUAAAAACAAUUAAACCAACUAGGUUUCGUCUCAUGAAGUCAAGUAAUUAACUAUAUUGAUUCGUUCUCAUUAGGGUGUUCUAAACUGCCACUUAAACAUAAUUCCCCCUUCGUGUAGGCAAAGGGAAAAUGAAUAAAACUCAAACACCCUAAGUUCUUAUCUCUCUCUCUCUCGCGAUCUGCUCUGUCUCUUCGCUCUCUGCUCUGGAAAUCAGCUCUGGCUUCUAAGUCAGCUCUGGCUGACUUAGCUCUGAAAAGUCAGCUCUGGCCUCCGAAAGUCAGCUCUGGCGACUUAGCUCUGAAAGUCAGCUCUGGCCUCCGAAAGUCAGCUCUGGAGCGGCUUGCUCUGGAAUUCCAGCUCUGCUCUCGAAUUUCCAGCUCUGCUCUGGAAUUCCAGCUCUGCUCUGGAAUUUCCAGCUCUGCUCUGGCAAUUCCAGCUCUGCUCUGGAAUUUCCAGCUCUGCUCUGGCAAUUCCAGCUCUGCUCUGGCAAUUCCAGCUCUGCUCUGGCGUUUCUGGGCAGAACGACGAGGAUUUCCAGUUCCCAAAACCAGAGUUCUUCGUCCUUUCUUGCCUCGAUUCUCACUCGUACACCGGCCUAAAUCUAUUCCUAUGUGAGCAUGCUGUGCUUGUUCAAGUUCAUCUACGUUUCGAGCUAAAGUUCUCGUCGUUUAAUCCAGUUUUCAAGUCGUGGGUUCUCCGGAAAAGUGGCUUAACAUGCUUCUUGUGUUCGUUCGUAUCUCGAGCCUUAAACAUGCUUUUUGAGCGUGUGAUUCAUGCUGAAAGGAGUGGCAACAGAGGUCGAGAGUUACCUUGAUGUCGCUUGCUUUGGUCGGUAAAAACGAUGGUUUCCCUUCGCAUUUUCGAUCGUCGAGGUGCAAGGCGUCGAGAGGGGUGGAGCUCUUGCUGUUGCUGCUGAUUUUAGAGUGUCGAAGGGGAGAGGGGUGGUUCAGGGGUUGAAGGUGAGUUUUAAUAGGGGUUGGUUGAUGUGCUUGAGUGCCUAGGGGAGAGCUUGGUUGUAGCCCUGCCUUGCGUGGAAUAGGGGUGCAGCAGGCGUGCUGAGCUCUGCUGUGGUGUUGCGUGGGGAGGGCUGCUGCUGCUCUGCCGGCGUGGAGAUGGAGUGUGGCCUUUCGGCUGCUCGUCCAAUGGAGGCUGCUGCCGUGGCUGCUCUGAUCUGGCGUGGAGUGUGGCGUGGCGUGGGAGAGGGGUGCAGCAGGCGGCUCUUCGGCUGCCCAGCCAAUGGGGGCUGCUGCCGCACCUUUUCCACUUUUCCUUUUCUCCAUUUUUCCUUCUUUUCUUUACUUGUAGCGUUGGCAAGUGUUGGGAUUGGGUGGCGUGAGUGGUGAAGUGAUCUAAGAGAAGAUCUAAAUAAAAUCCUUCAGUGUCGGUCACUCUCAGUAUUAAAAAUACUGGUUUCGUGCUUGCUAACAUCGAUAAUGCUAAAUUAAAUCCGUAGAUUCAAUCCGUUCGUCAUUCUAAUACUUAAAUUAAAUCCGUAGAUUUAAUUAGCUUCAAAGUCGGAAAUAAUUCACGACUUAAGUAACAAUGCGAAAAUAAACUCCAUCAUGAUAAAUAACACAACUUAGCUAAGUUGGUUAUAACCUCGAGUAAUAAUAAUUCAUCGACUCAAAGAUUCUCAUCGCGGUCUUAAACACGCGAAGAUAAAUAAAGCAUACUGUUAGCUAAGUAACUCUGUCUCCAAAAAUGUAAUUCAGAAACAUAGUUGAAAACAUAAAGUGCUUCAUGUACUGGCAGAUAGAUAAAUAAACAUGCAAAACUGAAAUUAAAUACUGAUAAAAGAGCGGGUCGCUACAAGUUACCUCACUUUGCAAUGAUAAUGGCAUUGGUGUUCUGAUAAACACUCAUUUUGCAUAGUUUAUAUGGCUUAUUUUCUGUGGUUUAUGUUGGAAUUAUGCCCAUUAUAUUGCAGAUUAUAGUUGAUUUCAUACCAAUUCGAGAUUUCACGCUUGGGUAUAGUUUUGGUAAGUUUGAUUGCAGGAAUGAGUGUUAUCAUAGCAAUUGGAACCAAUGGAACGUGUCUAGGAAGAGAGAUAGGAGAGAAACGAGUCCAAAAGACGAGAAGAGAUGAAGAAAUCGCGCAAGAAUCAAAAGAAGGGCGAUUCGGCGGUCAAAGGCUUGGACCUCCGAAUCCAUGCAUUUUGAAGUCUGGACCGUCGAACUCUCUGACUAGAAUGAACAUAGUGGUGAACCUAUUCGGCGACCCCCAAAUCCGGGGUUUUUUAUGUAGGGAUUUGGCGACCUAUUCGGCGACCGUCGAACGUCCCGUGUUUUCUAGGGUUCCGCAUUUUUGAGCUUUUUAUUCGGAUUUAAACUCUAUUUUUACCCUAAGACUAUAUAUAGGUCUUCUUGUGACCUAUUUAGGGUUCCCAGCUUUAAUUUUUCAAUUUCAUAGCUUUUAGUUUUUAUUUUCUUUCCAGUUUUUAAGGCUUGGAUUGGAUUUUUGCGAGGUUGAAGAUUCAAGCUGUUACAUUCGUUUAUUACGGUUUUAUGUAAUUCAGUUUUUACAAUUGCAUUCUUUUUAAUUAUGUUUAUGUUUUAUUUUAUUAUGUUUGGCUAGUUUUCUUUUUCUAAUUCUAGGGUUUGUAAAUAGUUAACUAAAUUCAUGUGGUCAAUUUGUUAAUACAUUUUUGCCUUCCAGUUUAUUAUUCAUAAUUCCUGGUGCGUGUUUUCUUAUGAAUUAUCUGAUCAAUAGUUUGCAUGUAUAGCUAUUCGGUUUGAGACUUGACGGAGAUAACUGUUUAGCGGAUUCAGGAGUGUAUGAUAUGAUUUUAACCUUGAGACCUGACGGAGAUAAAAAGUUUAUUAAUCUACGAUCUUUGCUGCUCUAACGAGAGUAAUUGAUUAAAUGUGUGAUCUCCCAUCAUAACUGGAUUAAAUUGGUAAUUAGGAUUAAUAGAUAGUUGAUGAAUUUACUACCCUAGGAUCAGUUGUUUUUAUUAUCUGAUUUAUUUACAUGUGUUGUCUUUGCUUUUAUUUGGAAUUUUAGUUUUAAGUUAAUACUCUCCUUUUUCUGAUUGCAUGUCUAUUGUGUUAGUUUGUUUAGGAAAUAAUAAAGUUAUUUCGUUUUUUCAGUCCUCCCUGUGGAGACGAUACUCUACUUGCUAUUUGUUACUACAAUUGUGCCGUGUUAGUUGCGGUUUUAUUGCUAAUAAAAAUAGUGAUCAUGUUCCAAAUAUGGAGUCUCGAUAUAUCCCUCAAGGAAGAUCAAAGCGUUUUGCUCAACAAGCUUCAUAUCUUCAUCAUUUCAGGGUUGAUGUGUUUCUAGAAGUAAUUGAUUUACUACUUCAAGAACUUGACAAUCGAUUUGAUAAGGUCAAUAUGGAGUUGCUUAUAUGCAUGGCUUGGUUAGAUCCUAAAGAUGGUUUCUCUUCUUUUGACAAGGAAAAGGUACUCAAACUUGCAACUUUUUAUCCCUCUGAAUUUUCAAGCAUUGAUUUGAUGACUCUUGAAUGCCAACUUGAUAUAUUUAUGGAGAAUAUGAAAAGAGAUGUUGGGUUUCAAAAUUUACAAGAUGUUGGUUCUCUUUUGAUGAAGCUUGUUGAAACUAAGAGACAUGUGACUUAUCCUCUAAUAUUUUUGCUCAUCAAGUUGGUGUUGAUUCUUCCUGUUGCUACUGCAAGUGUAGAGAGAGUGUCUUCUGGAAUGACGUAUGUCAAGAAUAAGUUGCGAAAUAGCAUGGCUGAUCAAGUUCUAAAUGAUUGUUUGGUUACUUUCAUUGAGAAUGAUAUGCUUUUACAAGUUUCCGAUGACGAGGUUGUGAAAUGCUUUGAAGAAAUGAAGACUCGUCGAAAGAUAAAUUAGAUAGUUAUGUAAUUUUCUUUUGUAUUUUUAACAAUAUUUUGGGAUGUAAUGUUUUUAACAUUAAUAUCUUGUACUUUUAUGCUUAUGAAAUUAUUUUUUGCACCCCCAAUUUUAAAAUCUUAGAUCCGCCACUGAGUAUCUUGCUUUUCUGAUUUCAGUCGUUUCUUGUCUUAGGACUGAUUGUAUAGUUUUGGCAUCAUCAAAAAGAGGAAAUUUGUUGGGAAUUUAAUGAAAUAUCAUAUCCCUAGUUUUGAUGAUACCAAAACUCUUAGAUUUUAUUUUAAUAGACUAGAACUUUUCGAACUCAAGUGUUAGAGUUCAUAUUUUCUAGUUAGACUGUUGUCCUGAAGACUGAAGACCGGUGGACUGAAGACUGAAGAUCUAUCAACUGAAGAUAGCUGUGAAAAGACCAAGUCAAAUACUGAUGUUUUGACUGGACGAGGAUUUCACUGAAGAAUCAGUUAUGACUGAUUUAUUAAUGCUGACCACGUGGAAUUAGCGGGCUGAUACUCAAAGUCGAGUAUCAAUUGACAUUAUUCCUCGGACUGAAGAUUCUAAGUUAAAAGAAAGCCACGAACAUUCAAGUACAGCCGCAUUAAAUGCAGAGACAUUGAAGAUCGUCCUUUCUCUACAGAGCAUUCCUUUUUGGUGCAAACUUUUCAGAGGCGUCUUACCUCAUGUACCUUGAGACGCCGUUCUUCACCAAAUUAGGAACCUCGAAGAUUGAAGCCUCAACCAAAUUCAAAUUUUAUCUCACAACGGCAGAAAUCCUAAAGACCAUCUUGCCAACGGAUCUAUUCAAUACUUCGCCUAUAAAUAGAGCUCGAGGAACAACUCAAUCUUCACCUAUUCAAACGCACAAGCUGAACCUCUGCCAAAUUUGCAACUCAGCCUUCCAUUGCCUUCAAAGUUUGAAUCGAAGAAGAGAAAUUAUCAAAGCCUAAAUCAGUUCACUGAUUAUACACAUUCUCUUAGUUUCUUAGGCAAAUCCUUGUAUUAUCCAAAGCCUUAGUUCCCGAUUACAGAGAGCCUAUUAUCUGUAAUCUAGUUGGAAAUUCGAACCAUUUUCAUUUGAGCAAAAAGAGAGUUUGAGGAUAGAGGAGUUCAGACCAGUGUUCUGACUCCAGAGUUCUUAGCCACCCGCUGCAAAAGGCACUUUAUCUUAGCGUGCUAAGAAAGAGCGAGAAAUCCAACUCAGUGUGUUGGUACUGAAAAUUGUAUUUUCAGUCUAAGGUUUGCUGUGCACCCGCAAGCAUAAGCCCAAAGUAUUUGUCAGUUUGAUCAGCUGGCUGUGAAGGAUUUAGCCUCACGUGGAUCGUUUCUCGGAUAUCUUAAUUCACCAUACAACGAUUAAUUCCUAACAUGCUCCUAUGAAUUUAAGUGCUGCACAUUGGAGUUAGAAUCACUUACUUGUGAAUGUCGAUGGCUGAAUCGAAUGACUCCAGUUCUGACCUUCUGAACUGUAUCCCGCUCAAUUCCCAUCGUUAGAUGGACAACGAACUAUGAGAAUUCCCAAGAAGAAUUCGCUACCUCAAAGUCGGGCCCCUUACUGCUCUCUCUAAAAAACCCUGAUUUUUGUGUGUCUUAUUCUGAGAGCAGAUAUAUGUAUUUAAAGACAAAACACAGACCUAGGGCCCCAAUAACUGUAGUGGGCGAAUUUUACUCCUACUGGGCUCAGGAGACUUUGGGCCAGUCCAGGGAUCAGAUACAAGGAAUAAAGAUGGGCCUCUAAUGAAUUAAUUCUUAUGAUCAGCCCAGAUCAUAAUUAAUUCAUAAGUAUUAAUUCAUUCCACUAGAGAAUCAAUACUGACUUACCCCUUUAUUACCGAUGAUGAGUCGGGGCUUGUAUUUAGACUUAUUAAAUCUCCGUAUUUAAAAUAUCCGACAUCCAUUAAUUAAUUAAAGCUCUGACAGCUUAUAUUAAUUAAUCUCUUUGUAAUCCUUAAGUAGUACCACUCAAACCUUAUUAUUGCGCCUGAACUUAAUCAACCUGCAGGGUUUAACGCAAUGAACCUUUUGAGCUCCUUAAGGGGAUGUCAUUAUCCUAUACCGGAUACGGGUACUAAUACAGAUAACCAAAUAUCAUAUAUUAACCGCUAUCACCCAAGAUACAGAGUACUCAAGUUAAUAUAUAACUCUCACCCAUAGUAAAUCAAAGUGAUACACGAAUCAACAUAUAUAUCUGAAAUCUUAUUAGUAUUAAGAUUUUAUUAAGUCACCGAGAUCUUGAUUCUUCACUUAUGUCAGAUAGAAGAAUACAUCUCACUGUGAUCCUAUCAAUACGUUAUGACGUACCAGUAUAGACAAAUAGUCAAGACAAACUAUUUCCAUCUAUGCUGCAGCCUAGACCAAUGACUCGUCCUAGAGUCAUCUCGGCUGUGAUCUAUUUAUAUCUCUUAAGUUUAUUCCAAUUAUAUGACCUUCUGUGAUCCGUUAAUCACCAUAUAAUCUACUUAUAUAGAGAUAAAGGACAUACAUAUGCAAUCAUGAACACAAUCAGAUAGGAGAUAAAAUAGUGAACACAAGAAUCAUUGUAUACAAGCGUAAAACGUUCUUGCUUUCAGUAUACAAAUCCAACAGGCUGUGGAUGUAGGAACUUGUUCCGAACCACAUUAAAAAUCCUUGUGUUCUUACUUGCUUUCAGAUACUUCCUCUGUGCUCAAAUCACUUUCUCAACUGAACCUACUUAACUGAAAAGAGAAACUAAGAAUUUUAUUUAGUGACGAAUUUUCUAAAGGCUAUUUGAACUAAGUUUAAGCUUUCGCUGCUAAUGUUAUUAGUCUAACUGAUAAAUCUUCGGAUAAUCAGUAAGAUUCAUAAACACUCCUCUGUUUACAAACUCUAGACUGAAGCCUUACGUGGAUAUCAGUUAAAGCCUUGUGUCUAACUGAAAUCAAAAUACUGAAGUUACUUCAGUAUCAGUCUUCAACCACCUUUUAACUGAAGUUUUCGUAACUGCUCUCAUCAGUCAAACCUUUAAGUAUCAGUCGAUACUUCUUCAAUUAUUUACAUAAGUAUUUUAAAAAAUAGCUUACAAGUGUAUUCCCUCGUACACCUGUUCAGUGACCCUCCGGGACCCAAUAAGGACAUUACGACUUCAAGAAAGACCUCAGCCAGGGUCUGACGAACAAAUCAAAGCAUACCUUACACCAAGAAAAUCUUAUGCGAUGAGGGCCGAAUACCUAUCCUUCUACGGGAUGAAUAAAGUCAGACUUCGGGCAAACCUUGGGCUAGGUCAAAUGCCACCCAUCCACCGAACAGAACAAAACAAACCCCCAAGAAUUAAAUCAAAGUAUAUUUAUACCAUUAAUCUCACUUAACUUCUUUAAUCUUGUUGGUUUCAACAAAAAAAAAAAAAAAAAAAAAAAAAACUUCUUUAAUCUUGUUCAACUUUUUUAAUCCUAUUUUAAAUUGGGGACUAUGGACAUAUGGAACCCCCCACAAAACUUCCCCAAUUAUCUACACUCUAUAAAUGGAACAAGACAAAAGGCAUCAUUCAUUCACAAAAAAAUUUGACACAUCUAGCGACUGUCACUUCAUUCCCUCUCUUCUCUGCCCCCCUUUGCAGGCAUCUCUCCCCCUCUCUCUUUCUGCACAUACAAAAGAUAAAAUGAGUGAAGAUUGUUGACAUAAAAUGCAAAAGAAAACCAACAAGGAAAGAAGCACAUGACCUCAUAAAGAAGAUUUCAUUUCUUAUUUCUACUGGUAGUGAGAUGGAUAAACCUCAGGAUGCAUAUUACCCGAUCCUCGACUAGGAAUGUUUGAAAAAGGAGUUGAUGAACAAUAAGCAUGAGGAGAAAUGAAUAUAUAGUGUGAAAAAGAGAUUAAAAGCCAAUGUUAAGUGCUGUCACAUAUAAUCAUUUUCGACUAUGUUCCAAUCCUCCAUAACCAAUAAUAACAAGGAAACCUUUUUUCUUUAAUUAUCAGAAAAAAAUGAUAUUCAUGCUUUAUUGCUUUCUCAUAUAUCCCAUCUCAAUAUCCGUACACGGAGAAGACAUCUGAGAUAUGAAUGCUAAGGCAUUGGAUGAGAUUCUAGUUUCAUCUUAUUUAUUCACACUAGCAUAGAUGACGUGCGUUCGCACGUAAAAAGGAAUUAUUUUAAUGAAUAAAUUGUUACGAGUUUAAAUUUAUAUUCUAUUUCAUUGUAUAGCAAUAUUCAUCAUUUUAGUGUUAUUUUUUAACCAAUUAUUGAUUAAUUUUUAAAAGUAUAAUGUUAUUGAACUCAUAAAUUAAAAUAAUAAUUUUAUUUUAUUUAAUUAAACAUCAGCUAAUUUUGUAUUCAUAUUUAUUUUAUAGGUUUCAUCUUUACAUAAGUAAUUUUAAUUCCAAAGAUUCUAGCAAAAUUAAACUUUCUAAAAAAACUAUUAAGUAGUAAUUCUUUGUAUUAUAAUUCUAAAUUAUAGCAAUUAUAUAAUAAAAAAGCAGUAACUUAUAUGAUAAAGAAUCCUAAUGGAUACUAAUACUGAAAUAACUAUUAAAAUAUAAAGGAUAAACCAUAAUAUAUUUAUAGAUAUAUUAUAUGUAUAAUAUAGUACACAAUUAACUUUAAAUUAAGUAUAUAUAUGAGGGAUAUAAUAGGCAAAUCAAAUUUUGUAAAAUAAGUACAGAUUUUGAAGAUGAGAUUCUACUAAGGCAUUGGAUGAGGUUGGUAGCAAUCAGCAACAACGAGGGUUGUCUUCCUUACAUUCUUGUAAGAGUAGGUCUGUGCAACAAAGGAAUAGAUGAAGAGAUUCCCGGCGGUGAUCCCGGCGAGGAGCCAGUAGAAAUAGUCGAGGCGACUAGCGUUUAGGUCCUUCCCGAACCAGCUCCUCGCCGUGACACCAUCCACCACAGUGAUCAAGAGGCCGCUAAGGAAGCUGGACGCCCCCAACACACUCAGGUAGAAAGCAAUGCCUAAACUCCUCAUCGAAUCCGGCACUUGAUCGUAGAAAUACUCCUGCAGGCCCACCAGCGUGAAGCAGUCUCCCACCGCGAUGAUAACAUACUGCGGCGCCAGCCAGAACACGCUCAUCGACAGCGAAUUCCCGGCGGGACUGGCUUUCACCACGCGGAGGCGCUUCUGCUCCACCAAUGCGGCCACCACCAUGGUGGCCACGGAGAACACCAUGCCGAUGCCGAUCCUCUGCAGGAUGUUGAUGCCCCGCUCAUCUCCGGUCACGCGGCGCAGGAACGGGACCAGGAUCCUGUCGUAGAUCGCGAUGGAGACUACGAGGCUGAUGGCCGCGAAGCCGUAGACGGAGGCCGGCGGGAUGGUGAAAUCGCCGGCGAUGGCGCGGUUGAGGGUGGUGCUCUGCUUGAUGAAGAAUGUGGAGGAUUGGGCCACGCAGAUGCCGAAGGGUAGAGUCGUCAUCCAAAUCGGGAUCAUGUUGAUGAUCAGCUUCACCUCUUCCACUUUUGUUACGCUUGCUAGACGCCAUGGAUUCGCCUUCUCCUUCGAAACCACCUCGUCUUCUACGAUCGCCGCUUUGUCCAGAAACCUGCUUACCAAAAUUUAAAUGUAUUUAACAAAACUAUAAAGACAAAGUAAUUUUCUACAACUUCACUCACUUUUUCAUUUUACACACCAACUUUAAAAAUUAUAUUUUAAAUCAUGAACUUUACAACUCGUUCAAUUUUUUAAUAAUUAUGUUUUCCCCUUAGUGUAAUGCCCUAAUUAAAAGAUUAAUUUGAGUAAAAACGUCAUAACCACGUUGUUUAACAGCAAUAUAUACAAUCUAGUUUAAUUGUCGAAUGUUGAAACGACGUCAUUUUAAUUAAGAUAUGUGUAUAUACACUUGGCAUGUUUAGUGACACAUCGGGUUUUAGGAUGCCAGGAUUCAAUUUUAUGAAAAAAUUGAAAGAGUUGCAAAAUUCAUGAUUCAAAAUGUAAUUUCUAAAGUUGAUGUGCAAAUUAAAAAAGUGACUAAAAUUUAUAUAUUUUGCUGCAGUUAAUUUGGGGGGAGAGGGGGGGGGGGCGAAAAAUAUGAUGCGCUUUAAUUAUUACACAAAUUUAAAUACAAGCAAUGUGUACCUGAGUUUGUUGGUGUGAAGAAGAAGCCUAACCCCUUGAUUCUUAUCCGAUUUAGGAAUCUCAUACAACUGGUCAGAAUCUACUGGAUACGGUAGUCUCCUCUUCACGAAUGCGGCUACAAUCACCUGCAUCAUCGGCGUCAAGGGGCUUCCCAUUGGCUUUCGGUAGCGAUAUAACGGCCGUCCGAUCCAAAUAAUGGCCGUGGUUGAGACCAUCACCGUCGUUAAAAUGAUAUCAGCUACAGCCCAACCUACGUGAUCUUGAAUAUAAACAAUCACCGUGACACCAAGUAAAAGCCCGCAGCAAAGCCCGAAACACCACCAAUUGAAAAACGACAUCUUCUUCCUCUUUUCUAUCGGAUGAUCGUCGUCGAACUGAUCGGCUCCGAAGCUCUCCAACGAGGGUUUAUGCCCUCCGGUUCCAACGGAGAUCAAAUACAUUGCCAGAAAGAAAACAACCUCGUGGACCCUAUGGGAUCCGCCCGCGGACCCCGCGUCCCAGGGCCUCAGCCCCGGGACCACUCUUGACAUUGUCAAGAGAAGUAAGCCCUAUUAAUUUUGCAUGAAAAUUAAAUAUAAAAAAAACGUGUGAGCUCGAGGUGAGAUGUUGGAAUUUAUAAUCUCUGUGGUAUUUGAAAAUGAUAUUAGAUUACCAUUAUAUAGAUAAGGGAGGAAAGCAUGACGGUGGAGAAGCGGCCGAGGUAAGCAUCGGCUAGGAAGCCUCCGAGUAAGGGCAUGAUUGUGGUGACACCAGACCAAUAGUUACAACUCUUAGCUGCUGUUUUGAGGUCUUGGUGAAGUACGGUGGUGAGGUACAUGAUCAAGUUUACAGCUAGCCCAAAAUAACUCAAUCGCUCGCUAAACUCCGUUGCUGUUUCUCAAUACUAAUUUUGUUAUUUUAUGGAAAUUAAUACUCAACAUCUCAUAUAUGGCUUAAAAAAAAAAAAAACAUGUCAUAUGGAUUAACCAUCCAAAAUUUCAUGUUCCAUCGUAUCUAGUUAAUUAACUCGAUUCGACUGAAAUAAGAAACUAGUUAGGCAUGGAUUAUUAACACUUUUUUAAUUAAUCUAAUACUCAUUCCUUUUCACUAAUAAUAAUAUGUAUUUUAUAUUAGGAUGUCCAACUAGAAGUGACACGUUUUUUAAAAUGAAAAAUUUUAACUCUUAAAAAAGUAUAGGUCCUACCACUUUUAAUUUAUUUACACCUUAUUAUUAAUUUUUGUGUCGAAAAAUUUUGAGCCACUUAUAAUAACUACAAAAAAAAAUUCUACUAAUAACAUAAGACUUAAUAGUUAUUAUGUGUGUCAUAAAAAUUAGUGAUAUUUGAUGAUAUAGUUAAUUAUUAAUAAUUAUAUUUUCAAAUAUUAUUAAUUUUUAUGAUACGAAUAUUAGCUAUUAAGUCUCGUAUCAUUGAUAGAAUUUUUUUUUGUAAAAAGUGAGACAAAAAGAGUAUUAUUUUUAAGCAUGCGUGCGUAUAUAAACCUCGCAGUGUAUUCCUAGCUAUAUUCUAAGUUAUCACUUAUCAAGGUUAAUUGUGUCAUUUACAUCAAUCACACUUUCAGAUUUUAGAUUCUCUACUUUAUAACUACUUUUUAUGUUGUCGGUAAAAAUAUCAUGCGAGAACAAAAUAUUAAUAAAAAUAAUGUCGCAUUCUAAGAUCUUUCUCUUAGUCAAGCCAAAAGAUUCGGGCAUGAAUAACAUAAUUUAACUAAUUGGAAAAGGAAUUAAAUUAUUAAAGCAUAUAUGCUCAUUCUCCACUUAUUAAUUGCUUUCUUUAGUUUAAGAAUAAACUUUAAAAUUCUUCGAAAAAGAAGAGAUUAUACCUUAAUGGGGCGUGUGCAUUUGUAAUGAUCGAUAAAAUACAUAAUUAACUAAUUUUAUUCUCUUUAAUUCUACCUUUUAAUAGGAUAUGACUAUAAAUGAACAAAAAUUAAUUCAAAUGUUAAGAGUUUGAGAUAUUCUAUUCCAGUCCACCUUAGUAUACAAUUUUUUAUAUAUUUAGACUAACACAAAAUUUCAUGUACGUACACUCGGAUUGAUCCGUACUCAAAUCCUGACUCGCAUGUUAAUUCAAAUCCGCAUUCUGACUCAAAUUGUAUAAAUAACACUAUUCAAUUAUACAAAUGACACUGCUUAUAAUUGACACUAUUCAAUUAUAUAAAUGACAUUGUAACAUUUUAAAAUGUUAUAGUGUCAUAUUCAAUCUUAUAGUGUUAUUUAAAAUAUUAUAAUGACGUUUACAAUCUUAUAGUGUCAAUUACAAGAAGUGUCAUUUAUAUUUCUAAAUAGUGUCAAUUAUACACAGUGUCAUUUACAAUGUUAUAGUGUCAUUUAUACGCAAUUUCACUUGUAUAACAGAAUAGUGUCAAUUACAAGCAGUGUCAUUUGUAUAACCGAAUAGUGUCAUUUACACAAUUUGAGUCAGGAUGCGGGUUUUGAUCAGAAUACGGGUCAUGAUCUGAGUACGGGUCAACCCAGAUGUACCCAAGACCACCUCUUAGACAAAUCCUCAAAAAUAAAUGCAUGUAUAUAUAUAGGGAGAGAGAUUCAAGAAAGAACCACUAAAUAAAAGAAGAACGAAGAACCAUUUGCAGCCAUUCGAUCAUUAAGAUCUACGGUGGAUGCAUCAUCUUGUUGGAUGAAUGCAGAUCUUGGGUUUGAAUUCUGAAAGGAGCUAAUUUUUUUUUUUAUUUUUUUGAGUGUCUAUUAAUUUUAACAACGAAUGCAUUAAUUUUUACAGUGGAUGAAUUAGAUUUGAUGGUUCUCACGUUUUCACAAAUAAUGUAGUUCUCUAUAGAACCACACCCUAUAUAUAUAUAUAUGUGUGUGUGUGUGUGUAUAUAUAUGGGGCAGUUAUUCAAUAAACCACCCUUAUUUUAAGAAUUACGAACCAGCAAAAAUGCAUGAAUUUUAUGUAUAACACGCAUGAAUAAACUGUAUAAAGGCAUGAAUUGCGAAAAAUAAUUUUUUGCUACCUUUGGGAUUCGAACUCAGGACCAUGAAUUUAUCCAACAAGGUGAUGAAUCAACCGUAGAUCUUGAUGAUCUAAGGGCUGAAAAUGGUUCCUAAUUUAUAUUUUAAGAAGCGUUCUUAUUUUUGCUAUAUAUAUAUAUAUAUAUAUAUAUAUAUAUAUAUAUAUAUAUAGUUGGAUUCAACAAAGAAUUAUCUUUUUCGAGAGAAUGAACAAAUCUAUACAUUUUACGAGCAAAUCAACAUAACUAAUGAACAGACGUUAGUAAAAAUAGAGAAAAACUCGCCACCAACAGGAUUCGAACGCAUGGCAAAAUGUUGUUCAUACGGUACAUUGAUUUAUUCAUCAAAAUUAUAUAUCUGUUCGUUUUUGUUUCACGAAUUCUCUAUUUUCUAAAUAUUUUAUAUGUUAGGUUUUAUUGAGAAGCUCAAAUGUGUUGAUAAGUUGAGAAGCAAUCUAAUAAAUGAACAUGUCAAUUAGUUUUUAUCAUUGGCGGUGACGUAUUUUUAACAAAUUAAAUAGAUUCGUAUGUUCGUCAGUUAUAUUUGGUAUGUUCAAAGAAUUUAUUGAUUUGUGGUCUAAUUGUCAUGUUCAUCUAUUAGAUUGCUUCUCAACUUCUCAACACAUUUAAACUUCUCAAUUGAACGACUCCCUAUAUAUAUAUAGGGUCAAGUUAAACAAAGAAUGAUUCUAUAUAUAGAGAAUAAAGAAGAGAUCUCAUCCAUUAAAACCGCUGCAUCAUGCGGCUUAUAUUGAAUGAAUUUUCCUAUUUUAUUUAAGAAUUGUAAUAUUCAAAAAUUACUGAAAGGGUAUAUGGGUAACUUUCGUAUGAGUGAAAACGGAAAAUCCUAUUUUCACUUUUCAUUCUCUCACUCUUUCUCGUUCCUCAACCCUCAACCAUCUCUCAUUCUCUCUCCAAUCUCUCCGUCUCUCCCCCUCUCCCUUGUGCAGCCACCUUGCCGCCUCUCUCAUCCCUCUUCGCCAUCAGUAGCAGCGGCGAACGGCAACGCCCGUCACAUCCUCGCUAACACAGUGCAAUAUUGCUUCGGUCGCCGGCAUCUGCUCGUCGACGCAAACGGUCAUUGCCGCUGCUGGUCCAAGGGCGCAUCCCGACGCCGUAGCGCCCCCGCGCUUGUAGCCCAUCUCGCCGAUCAAGGUGAGGAUCUCUGUUAUCGCGAUUUUUCCUGUUCGACGGUGAAGUUCAACAAAGGUAUGAUUUUCGAUUUAUUUCACAACUUUAAGAAAUCUUUUGAACAGAUCUAGUGCAUCGUUUUAAUUUUCUCAUUAUUUCGAUAAUUUUCCAUCAUCUUCUCCAAAUAAUUUCGAUUCUGGGCAAAUCAACCUUGACCACUUUAAAUUGAUUUUACUUUUAAAACUUUGUUAAAUGAGAACAACACAACAUAUGUUUGUUGAAAGUUCAAAACCAAAAUUUUCAGAUUUCCAGAUUUUUCAGUGUAAAAGUUACUGCUUCGUUCAAUUCGUUCAAGUUUGCUAGAAAAAAGAAAGCUUCCAAAAUAUAUGUGUUCGUAGAAUCAAAUUUUGCUUCGCACAAUGGAGUCUACGGCAGCUGAACCACCAAAGCAUCGUGGCUGUUAGAUUGACUUUUCAGCUAGACUCCUGUUCAUCGAAGAAUUGUGUUCUGUUCGUUCAGAAAUUGUGUUUGUUCAUUUAAAAAAUUUUGUUAUGUUCAUCUAGAAAUUAUAUUGUGUUCAUUGAAAAGUCAUGAUUGUUCGUUUUAUAUUAUAUUCAUGAUAAAUAUUACUUUAUUCAGUGUAACAUUUUUUUUUCGCAUUUUAUGAUUAAAACUUGUGUUCAGUUCAUUGAAAUAUUUUGGUUUGUUCAUUGAAAAAUUGUGAUUGUUCGUUACGUAUUAUAUUUAUGAAUAAUAUUAUUUAUAUAUGAUUGAAAAUUUUAAAAAUAUUAAACAUAAAAUGUUUCGAACAUGCUUUAAAAAAAUUACGAACAUAUAUACUAAAAUAUUCAAAUCUUUUGAUGAUAUAAAAUAUUUAACAUAUAACUUUUCGAACAAGCCUAAUAAAAUUACGAACAUUUAAAUAGAACAUUCGAAUAUUUCUUGCUGUCAGAACAUAUUUAAUAUAAAAUAUUUUGAAUAAGUACAAAAAAAUUGCGAACAUAAAAAAUUAAAUAUAUUGUAUAGAUUAUGAAAAGAUUAACGUGAACAUAUAUUCUGUACACAACAUACAAAGUUUAAAAUAAAAGAAAUAUAAAGAUUUGGAUGUAUAAUAUCUUACCAAAACUAAGUAGAUAAUUACAGAUCUUCAAAUCUUAAUUAACGGACUUCAUAAAAUUGAACAAUUACAUAUAUAGCCUUUUCGGCUAUAAUUAAGGAAAAUAAACAGAAAAAAAACGGCCCUUGGAUUUGUAAUUUUGGUAUGCUCCAGAUUAAUUCUCCUUUCUCUACAUAUUUAUCAUUCGUCAGUUUAACCUUUCUCUCUCUCUCUCUCUCUCUCUAUAUAUAUAUAUAUAUUGAAANCGUUGAAUGAACGAACGCUGACCGUUAGAUUAGAUAAGAUCAACGGCUGAGAUUAAGACUCUAUACUCUGCCUAUAUUUGUGUUUCUAUUGAACUCUCCCCUAUAUAUAUACUAUAUAUAUAUAUAUAUAUAUAUAUAUAUAUAUAUAUAUAUAUAUAUAUAUAUAGGGGGAAGGCUAAAAUAAGAACGUUUCUUAAAAUAUAAAUUAGGAACCAUUUUCAGCCCUUCGAUCAUCAAGAUCUACGGUGGAUGCAUCAUCUUGUUGGAUGAAUGCAGAUCCUGGGUUCUAAUCCUGAAGGGAGCAUUUUUUUAAUUUUUUUUAGUUGCAUUAAUUUUAAUAGCGAAUGCAUUAAUUUUUAUAGUGGAUGCAUAGAUUUGAUGGUUCUUAUGUUCUCACGAUAAGUGUGGUUCUCACUAUAACCGCACGCUAUAUAUAUAUAUAUAUGGUUGAGUUCAACAGAGAAUUAUCUUUUCAUUCAUCAUGAACAAAUCUAUAUAUUUUACGAACAGAUCAACAUAAGUAAUGAACAGACGUAUUUAGUAAAAAUAUAGAAAAACUCGCCACCAACAGGAUUCGAACUCGGGGCAAAUUUCUGUUCAUGCAGUACAUUGAUUUGUUCAUCAAAAUUACAGAUCUAUUCGUUUUUGUUUCACGAAUUCUCUAUUCUUUAAAUAUUUAGCAUUCUUUGUUGAACCUUUUACUCUCUCUCUCUCUCUCUCUCUCUCUCUCUCUUCUCUCUCUCUCUAUAUAUAUAUAUAUAUGAGUUAUUCACCAACACUAUUGUGUUUGUGAGUUUGGUCGGGAUGGUUUUUGGAUGGAGAGUCAGUUGUUGCUGCGCUGCUGUUUUUCUGGGUGCUGGAGAGGGCUCGGUUUUGGCGGGAUGGCUGGCAGCAGCUGCUGUUGUUGUUUUUGGCUGUGGGCUGAGGUGCGUGGCUGGAGAAGCUUUCUUGGGUCUUGGGGCUGGUGUGGUUUGUGUUCGGGGGGUUGGCAGACAACGAUCGCUGCUGUUGCUGCUCUUUGGAGGCGGGCUGCAGUGUCGGUUUGUGGACGGGGCAACUUGGCCUUGGUUUUUGAGUUGGGUUUUUUGUUGUCUUUAGUUUCUGGUUCAAAGCCGGGAUUUCUUUAGGGCAAUGGUUCGGUCGGAAUUCUAGAAGUUAUCCCAUUUCCGCUUUGUUCUUGGUUUUUGUUUUUUUGGUUUCUUAGACUGGGUACUCUUUUUCCUCUUCUCUUUGAAGAGGUUUUAAUGAGAUCCGGCCCUUACCGUGCUUUUUGUGCUUUCAGAGGUUCUUGGUUUGCUUUUUUCUUUUUCUUUUCAAUAAAUUGCAUUUUAAUAAUAUACAGACAUAUAAAACGUAGCAUCCCACAAGAAGAAAAAUAACAAUAAAGCAAAAACAAUAUUGAUGAAAACGAACAAUAAACUAAACUAUAGUAAAAAAUUUGGGUUCAAACUCAGAAACUUCCGAAUUCAAAUAAAUUUUCAAAACCUAAAGCCCAAAGGGCCCUGCUUUCCUAUAUAUACAGAGACCCCUAUACUAAGCUUUUCAACGACAAAUCUUGGAGAGAGAGAGAGAGAGAGAGAGAGAUGAUAAAAGUGGGGAAAGUGGUGGAAUUAGUGGAAGAAUACAGCUUGAUAAUGGCAAGAAUGAGGGAGCAGAUUAAUUUUCUGCCGCGACGUCGUAUCGAAUUUCAGUUCUUGAGGUCUCUGCAUUCUGCUUCUACUUCCACUUCUGCAGAUUCUUCCUUUUUCAUGUACUUUUAACUUUACACCCAAAUAUUUUAAUUUCUUUCAUCAUUUCUUGAUACUAUUUAUACUUGGAGAAAAAAAAAAUUACUAGUUCAUUUUAGGGUGUUUUAGGCUGUUCAACCUGUUGUAAAUUUUAUUUAUUUUUUAUUGGAUGUAAUAUAUUUUUCUCUCAUUCAUUCUACUGCUGUAGUAGAGGUUUGCUUAUUUAUAAAUAAAUCUUGUGUUUAUUUUUCUUUUUUUGUUAAUGUGUGAUACAUGAUAAUAUGCAAUUUUUUAUUCAUGUUAUGCACAUUUAUAAAGUGAAUAUUUUCCUGACGGAAUUAUUGAUGUGCAUAAUUGAGCCAUUAUUAAUUCCAAAGACAUAAUAGGCUCAAAAUUUGGAUAAGAAAAUUAUAUUUAAAGCUGUCGUAUUUACUUUACUAUAUUACUUAUGACAAAACAAUAAAUAAACUAAGUCAUGGAAGGCGUUUUCUUGUAUAAAAAAGUUUUAAAAAUAAAUUACGAUAUUGUACCUGCAAUUUGGCUUUUAUUCCUCCAAAUUCAAACAUAUGACUCUUGAUACUGCAAUCUCAAUUUAAACUCCAACUACAAUCAAUUGUUAAUAAAACAAUGAAAAAGUAGACAUUUUUCGCUUGGGGAAGUUUUCCAUGAAGAACUUUAUAAAAUAUUUUUCUUAAUUUCCAAUUAAUAAUUACAAUUGGCUCAGACUUUUCAGUGAAAUGACUACCAAUGAUUAUUUUAGACAAAGUCAACUAAUGGGCUUCACAAGUUUGACAAUAGAAAAAACCACAACGUCAUUUCAUUGAAUUAGCAACAAAAUUUAAAAUAGGAGUAUAGAUUAAGAAAAUAAUUAACAAAAAAAAAGUGUAAAACUAUUUUGCGAAUGAAAAUUUAUAUGACGGACUAAUAUAUCUAGUUCUAAACUCACAUUAAAUGACAUAUUUAUCAUUAUAUUAAUUUUUAAAAUUUGUAUUUGAAUUUGAAUCUUAACCUAACCUAGAAGUGAGCCUUAAAACAUUUUUAUAUAAAACUCCAGAGGUCUAGUUAUCCAGAUCACGUUAAGUAAAUGCAAUAUUUAGUUGAAGUUUUUUAACAUUUGUUUGAUGAUGGCAAAUUAUUUGUGAAACCCUAUUCCUAUCAACAAGCCAUGUUCAAAUGUUAUCCCACACAUCAAAUCCAACAUAAAUGCCAUACCGAAAUAAUACUCUAUCUUCAGGUAUAUAUUCAUGAAAUAUGAAACCUAUAAAUGAUUGAUGGGCCAUAAUUAAAAUGGAACCUCAAAAGCUAUCUAUAAAGAUCUCUAAAUAUAGUUGGGAAACAUUAAACUCGAGGAAUUGUGAAAUUCGUGUUGCACCUACUAUUUUCUUGAGAUGUCAAUUUAACCAAUUAUAAGUGGGAUUAAAUGCACAUAAAUUUACUCGAAAUUUAUUUUUAAUAUAAAUUUUUAAAAAUUUACUCUCUCAAUCCAUCAAUUCGUGACUUAGGGAAUGAAACACGAGUUUUAAGAAAAAAAAUGUAUUGUUUAUUAAUUGAGUGGAGAAAAUGACCCACAAAGUAUAUUGUUUAUUAAUUGUCACACCCCAAUUUCUGAAGGAAUAAGUAUAACUGAGGUGCAACUAAAUCAUUGAAUGAACAAGGGAAAAACCUUGUAAAAUAUGAAUAAUGGGAUGAUAAAUCGGGCUUCGCCCCUUUAGAUGAAGAAAGAUAGAUAUCCAAACGAUACUAAUCCAUCGACAAACAUUACAACUUCAGGAUCACAAGUUUAGUUUCAUGCUUCGGAUAACCAACAUUCAUUAAUCAAAAUGCUUAAGAGUCAAGAGUUUAAGCUUAUCAAAUGAUAUCAUUCAGAGUCAUAACAAAAUGUCUUAAGUCAAGGAAACGAAAGACAAUAAAGGCUAGUACUACAGCGGAAGUCAAAACACGGAGUUGAAUCCUAGCCUCAGCUCUUCCCGUCAACACCAGCCAUCAACCUGAAAAACAUUUAAAAAUAUUUGGGCUAAGUACUAAUGUACUUAGUGGGCUGCAACUUUAAAACAUUUCGUAACCUGAAGAACAGUUUAUCCAAUCGUACUUGACAUGACUUAGAAGGUUUUAAAGUGAAAGAACUUCUAAGCAUGUUAAAACAUUUCAUAUAUAUAUAUAUACUUAGUUUUGCGCGCAGAUGUCACACUCAAUUCUGUUACUCGCUAUGAUCCCGGACCUUUUAGCCACCGACGGAUCCAUUUCUCCCAUUACUUGAACUGAGGGCGUAACCCAGACAAGUUUACUUUUGACCUCGGGAUGCUACCCAGACAGGCCCUUACAUUACAUGCUUCGGAACACAUCCAGCAAGCACCCUUAUAACGCCUCUUAGUUAGUGCCCGAAUGGAGAUCAACCCACCGAGUCAGCUAACAGUGUACACAAUUCUCAAAUAACGUGUUAGGUCAUAAGAGAACCUCAAUUGAUUCGUUGUGGCGAGCCUUAAACGGAGCAGAGUGCACAUAAACAUUUUAUUGGAUAAACAGUUUAUUUUUCACGAACAUUUAAGCUCAAUAGCUAAAUCAUACAUUUGGAAAAAUAAGCCCACCUGUAUAGGCAAAGCCAGUCGUUUAACGUUAUCUCUGAAUCGGAAUAGCAGUGCUAAUCCUCCUGACGUUCAAAGCCUUAAGAGGUUUCGGUUGAGAUUCGUUCUAGUUGUUGCUUGAAUGAUGAGUUGAUGGUUUAACUUCUUACUGAAGGGAUAAUGAAUGUGCCGAGAAGGGUGGAGUAAUCUCAUCAAUGGUGUUGGGUGAUGACAGUCGAGAGAGGAGAGAGAGAAGAGAGAGGAAAGAGACGUCUGUUAUGAGGGAUGAAAGAAAAAGGUGUUGUUUAUUAACCCUAUUUACUUAGCCAUCAGUAUUGGAUAAAUAACACAUGCUUAAUUAUCCACUUGCAUAAAAUAUCUUAUCUGUUAACUAUGUUUAUCCACUUGCUUUGACUUCUCUCUCUACUAAAAAAAAUUGUUCCUCACCGGAGCAGAGAAUGCUCGCCAGUGCAGAGGAAUGCUCGCCAGUGCAGAGGGUUCACUCGCCAGAGGAAUCACUCGGCAGGAGGGUUCGCUACGCAGAGGAAUCACUCGGCAGAGGGUUCGCUACGCCAGAGGAAUCACUCGGCAGAGGAAUCCCUCGCCAGAGGAAUCACUCGGCAGAGGGUUCACUCGCCAGAGGAAUCACUCGGCAGAGGGUUCGCUCGCCAGAGGAAUCACUCGGCAGAGGGUUCGCUCGCCAGAGGGAAAAGAAUAUGCAAUGCACAAAAAAAUUUAAAUAACUUGAAAAUUUACAAAUGCUUUCGUAAAUCAUCUUUGUUGGAAUUAAAUAAAUUCUUUUUUUUCUCAAUCCGGCGUGAAUCAUCUUAAAUCUAAGUUCAAAAUUAUUCUAAACUUAGCUCGAGGAAACGGGGUAUUACAUUAAUUGAGUGGAGAAAGAAACUCGCUAAGUGUAUUGUUUAUUAGUUGAGUGGAGAAAAAAAAUAUUAUUUAUUGAAACCCACCAAUUAAAAAAAUGUAUAAAUAGUUACUAAAAAUGAGUAGGACAUGAAUUGGUGGACGGACAAAAAAAAAAUUAGGACAUGAAUUGGUGGACGGAAGAAUCAUUUUAUACACUAAUUUUGAGAUCCUGUUCAAUUCUUACAAUGAAUUUAUCUCCAACGAAUUAAAAACACACUUGAUAUUGACGUGCCUUCCAAUUAUCGGAGAUGCAUGUUUUCGUAGUUAAAAUUGAACAGAGUUUCAAAAUUUAUGUAUAAAAAUUUACUUUAAAAGUUUGUGUUAAAAAUGAAUUCUGACUAAAGUUUGUGAAUUUACAUGCAUUUAACUCUUAUAAGUUGUUAAAUUUUGUUAGAUAACUUUAUAUUUAGAAAAAGGAUAAUUGUGUAAAUACAUGAACUUUACUCAUUUUUGGUAUUUAAUAUGAACUUUAAAUUCUAGUUAUAAAUACAUGAACUUGGCUCACUUUGAGUAUUUUACAUGAAUUUUAAAACAUAGUUAUAUAUAGGGAAAAUUGCACCUAAAUACACAAACUUUGUCGAAAAUCCAUAUUUGACGCGAAGUUAGGAUUUUACAUUUUAAUACACCAAUUUAAGAAGUUGUUCAAUUUUGACACAAUUUUGAAUUCCGGCGACCGGGAUAUUGACGUGGCAGCCGGAAUUGCCACGUCACACACACACACACACUCCACUCUCUCUCUCUCACACCCCACUCUCUCUCUCCUUCCACACGUCAGCUCACCCCCCAGCCACCCCGGUCGGACCCUCCUCCUCCCCACACCGCUGCCGUCGAGCCCCCAGCCGCCCUCUACUGCUGAGAUCCAGGUCGCCGCCGCCGAUUGACCAUGGUGGAGAAGGCGGCGUGUGCCUUCGGCGAAGAUCUGGGCAACGCCAAGUUCAAUUUCCCCGAAAAUCUGCCGAAGAUCGAGAUCCAGGUUGCCGCCGCCCGCUUUGCCCUUGCGUCCACCGGCGCCGAGACCUCGGNNNNNNNNNNNNNNNNNNNNNNNNNNNNNNNNNNNNNNNNNNNNNNNNNNNNNNNNNNNNNNNNNNNNNNNNNNNNNNNNNNNNNNNNNNNNNNNNNNNNNNNNNNNNNNNNNNNNNNNNNNNNNNNNNNNNNNNNNNNNNNNNNNNNNNNNNNNNNNNNNNNNNNNNNNNNNNNNNNNNNNNNNNNNNNNNNNNNNNNNNNNNNNNNNNNNNNNNNNNNNNNNNNNNNNNNNNNNNNNNNNNNNNNNNNNNNNNNNNNNNNNNNNNNNNNNNNNNNNNNNNNNNNNNNNNNNNNNNNNNNNNNNNNNNNNNNNNNNNNNNNNNNNNNNNNNNNNNNNNNNNNNNNNNNNNNNNNNNNNNNNNNNNNNNNNNNNNNNNNNNNNNNNNNNNNNNNNNNNNNNNNNNNNNNNNNNNNNNNNNNNNNNNNNNNNNNNNNNNNNNNNNNNNNNNNNNNNNNNNNNNNNNNNNNNNNNNNNNNNNNNNNNNNNNNNNNNNNNNNNNNNNNNNNNNNNNNNNNNNNNNNNNNNNNNNNNNNNNNNNNNNNNNNNNNNNNNNNNNNNNNNNNNNNNNNNNNNNNNNNNNNNNNNNNNNNNNNNNNNNNNNNNNNNNNNNNNNNNNNNNNNNNNNNNNNNNNNNNNNNNNNNNNNNNNNNNNNNNNNNNNNNNNNNNNNNNNNNNNNNNNNNNNNNNNNNNNNNNNNNNNNNNNNNNNNNNNNNNNNNNNNNNNNNNNNNNNNNNNNNNNNNNNNNNNNNNNNNNNNNNNNNNNNNNNNNNNNNNNNNNNNNNNNNNNNNNNNNNNNNNNNNNNNNNNNNNNNNNNNNNNNNNNNNNNNNNNNNNNNNNNNNNNNNNNNNNNNNNNNNNNNNNNNNNNNNNNNNNNNNNNNNNNNNNNNNNNNNNNNNNNNNNNNNNNNNNNNNNNNNNNNNNNNNNNNNNNNNNNNNNNNNNNNNNNNNNNNNNNNNNNNNNNNNNNNNNNNNNNNNNNNNNNNNNNNNNNNNNNNNNNNNNNNNNNNNNNNNNNNNNNNNNNNNNNNNNNNNNNNNNNNNNNNNNNNNNNNNNNNNNNNNNNNNNNNNNNNNNNNNNNNNNNNNNNNNNNNNNNNNNNNNNNNNNNNNNNNNNNNNNNNNNNNNNNNNNNNNNNNNNNNNNNNNNNNNNNNNNNNNNNNNNNNNNNNNNNNNNNNNNNNNNNNNNNNNNNNNNNNNNNNNNNNNNNNNNNNNNNNNNNNNNNNNNNNNNNNNNNNNNNNNNAAAAGUACCAAAUUACUUAGUAUUUUUUUAUUUAUUUUUCUAUUGGUAUUUUUGGCACAAAUUAUAACAUUAGUGCCAAAAGUAACAACCGAACUCGUGCGCCCAACCCGAUCUGGUCCGCCCAAAUUAAUGACAAUAAAAUUCGAAAUUAUAACAAAUGAUUAUAUUUUUAAGAUGGAUGACCAAAUAUUAAAUUUCAUUACUCAGUAUGACUAUCUCAAAAAUUAGCUCGUCUUAAUUUAUCCAAACACUUCAAAUUUUCAAUUUUGAAAUAUGACUUGACAUCUCAUAAGUUUUGGAAAUGGUUUAUAACAACUCGAUAAAUAUUAAGUUAUCCUAACACUUCAAAUUUUAAAUUUUAAAAUAUGACUUAACAUCUCAUAAGUUUUGGAAAUGGUUGUAUAACAACUCGAUAAAUAUUGCAAUUAUAAGAUGCAAAAGAUCAUAAACUCUUCUCAAUAAACCUAAUUAGUCAUCGUUUUGAAAAGCAUGCUAAAAUUGACUUACGUUGUAUAUUCAGAUUAUUAUAUAAAUAACGUCGAUAUCAUAAUCGAAUGAAUCAAAAAUAAGUUAUACCUAACUAAAUUAUGAGAAAAUUUACAAAUUUAAUAAAUUAAUAUAAAAUGAAGAUAAUGCUAAAAAUAAUUGAUGAAUGUUGCCUCAACCCUCAACUAUUAGCUUUGAAAUUCUAAAAAGAUAACUAUUAUCUUUGAAAUGUAUGAAGAUGAGCUUUUCUAGUUUGUAGAUUUGAUUAAGAACCACUCGUAUGAUAUGGCGAUUUGACCUCCACGUAAAUAACUUUGUUGAUGAUACCAUGUCGGCUUCGCCUACUCUAAAUUUCAACAAAAUUAAAUAAAUAUAUUCGACCAUUUUAUUAUCAUUGUAAUGUCCCACACCAUGUCUCUAUUAUAUGAGAUAAGAUGGAUAGCAUAUAUUAUAUAUAGGUUACAUAUUUAUAAAUGUGCCCGUGAAUUUCAUGGUUUUAAAAAUUGGAUGAUUAAAUUUUAACCGAUUUAAAAUUUGACUAAUUUGGUUUGAUUAUGUUAUAGGAAUAGAAUAUAUAUAUAUAUAUAUAUAUAUAUAUAUAUAUAUAUAUAGUAGUANUUAAACAAAAUAAAAUAAAACUGAAAUUCGAAAUUACCACUGCAAUUACUAUGAUCCAAGAUAUGAAAUUUACUAAACUCCAUUCAUUGGCUAUCAGAAAUGUGUAAGCCUGUACAUAGGUAGGUGUGGAGCACUGGAUUAAGCUCCAAACUCAACUUGAGCGCCACCUCACUGAGUCGAGGUUCCAGAAUCGUUCCUUUAUCGAAGCGCAUUAGAGCACCCGCAUCGCGGGUACUCGAGGAGGUCCUCGAGGAGACCAUCUGCGUCGAGGAGGGUGAUGCGGCGAGGAGCUCCUCGAGGCCUCCUCGAGUUAUCGAGUAUCCUCGAUAGGCCGGUGGUGAUGGCGCGUGCAAUGCACGCGCCCAAUUUAAAAAAAAUAUGAAAAAUUCGAAAAUUCGAAUUUUUAUAUUCUUUUUGACUGCAGCUCCUCGGUCUCCGCACCUUUGACCGACGUCUUUAAUUUUUUUUUUUUUUUUUCCUUCUUCUCUUCUUUUUACUAACCCAUCUUCUUCUUUCUUCUCCACACCUCUUCUCCUUCUUUCUCUUCUUCCUUCUUCUCUUCACACCUCUUCUUGUCCUACAAUUUUCUCCGUCAUGGAUCCACACAACCCUUUCUACGAUCCAAAUUGGUGCCCUGAUCUCUCCUCCGAUUAUCAUCCCGAUAUGGGAGGAAUCAACUUGGAGGAGAGCCCGCCCGAGGAGGAACCGGUGAGUGCUCAGCAGAGUGUCUUCCCACCAAAAAAAGGCGGCCGGAGGAAGGAAAAGGCCACCAAAAUGAAGCACGACAAACCAAAGUUUACCGUCAUACUUACCUUCCACAGCAUACGGAUCUCAUCGUCCAAAUUUGGGCGGAGGAGACCAACGACUCGAUCCGUGGGACGGAUCAGAAGGGAGAGUCAUAUUGGGGCCGGAUCCGCGAACGUGUGUGCCCCAUCCUCGGCGUCGACCUCGGCAUUAAGCAACUUCAAGGCCACUGGUCCCGGGUGAGCGCGGAUGUGCGUCUCUGGGAAGCUGUUUGGGUGGAGACGAGCAACAAUUGGCCGUCCGGUCAUUCGGAUGAUAUGAUUCGUGAAAAGGCCCAAACCAUCUUCAAGGCUAGAAGCCCAACCAAUGCCUCCUUCAAUUUCUGGAACGCGUGGAGAAUUCUCCGGCACAAUCCCAAGUUCAAGUCGAUGUACCUCCUUGGAGACGUGCAUGCCUCCAAGAGGACAAAGACUACGGAAGAGGGCGGCUUCACCACCUCGGCGUCGGGCGAGGAGAUCUCUUCUGCUCGGCCCAUUGGCAACAAGGCGGCGAAGGCGGCGACGGCGGCGGGAAAGGGAAGGGAAGGCUGCAGCGUCGCAUACGAGCUCGGAUCCUCCACCAGAAAUUGUGGAGAGGUUGGAUAGGAACGACGCGCAGAUGAGGGCAUUCACCGCCCAGUACCAGCGGAGGAACGAUCUCCGGGAGAGGGAGCUCGAUAUGCAGCUCCUGAACACGGAUACGACGAACAUGACGGACGCACAACGUGCAUUGCACGCGUCCAUGGUCGCCGACGUGCUCAGGCGUCGUGGUCUAUCCUAGGCUUUUAAUUAUGUGAUUUUAAUGAUGUUUUAGGUUUUUUAAAUUUUUAUGUAUUUUUUUUUAUGUUUUAAGUUAAUUUUAAUUUUUUAUUUAUUGUUUUAAGUUAAUUUUAAAUUUUAUGUUUAAUCCAGUAUUUAAAUAUGCAAUUUAAAUUAUGCAAUAAAAUUUAUAUGAAAAACAUAAAAUCAAAACUAAUAUUAUCAAGGAGGCUAUCAAGGAACCCCAAUGCAGCACUACCUACUCAAUAACACAAAUACUAUCAAGGAGGCUAUCAAGGAGGUCCCAAUGCGGAUGCUCUUAAGCUCGGCUCCACCGUUUCAGCCGAGAACGAGUUUAUUUCUCAUGAAUCACUAAAUCUUGGUUAUGAUCCCACCCCGUGAUAGUAAUUUUCGCCUUCGACUCGGCUGUCGCCACCAAGGUGGACCGACUUGGGGGAAUGGCGGAUGUCGCAGGGCGAGAUGAGAUGGACGCCGCCGAGAACAGCCUCCACGGCGGCGUGGCAACGGGGCCAGCGGUCGGAGCUCAUCAGGCUGACCGAGCUUCCACUUCCAGAUUCGACACAUAUUUGACCUUAAAAAGGCACACAGUACUUUCGAAUAAAUCUUUUAUCAGUACAGCAAACAAGCAAAGUAAUAAAAGCCCUAAUCUACACAAAAUAUUUCAGCGUAUCAAUUGUUUUUAUUUGAAAAAUCCCUAAUCUACACUAGAAGAUGAAAGAAAAGGUAACAAUUUACAGAUCCGAAUAAAAGAUAUGCCUAUAUUCGAAACUAUGAAGUGAUAUGUUGUAAGUUUAUCGCAGAACUCACCUUCUUCGAUGUCGCGUUCGUUUCGCCGAGAAGACAAAGAAAUCCACUCAUUUUUUCUGCAAAUCUCCAAAAAAAAUUUCACAGAACGGCGGUUCUUUGUGGAGAAGAUUUUUGUAGUAUGAAAUUCAACCAUAUUCUACACCAGAAUCAUCGUGAAGAUGGAGGAGUGAAAGGCGGAUUUCAUUGGAAUCUUCCAGAUUUUACUGAUGGGUGUAAUUUUACGAUUUUUCACCCUUUUGACUGUAAAAUUCGAAAUUUAUAUGGUCAAACGCGUUUUGCUUGUCUUUUUUUCAAUUUUAUUCGUUUAUUUUGUUAGUCCAUCAGAUCCCCUACAUCUAACGGUAGGGAUUAAUUCUCUAUUCUCAAUUAAGGCCUAAUUCUCAUGGAUCCAUCCCCCUAUAUAUAUAUAUAUAUAUAUAUAUAUAUAUAUAUAGUAGUGGUAGUGUGUAGUAGANUCCCUAUAUGUGAUGAAAUUUUAAAUUGAUUUGUAAGUGUUGAUUUAAUGUGUCAUAUGACUGAUAUAGUGAUAUUUAUCUGAAGGGAAGAAAUUUUACCUGAGAUCGGAUCUUGGAGGGAGCGAAAAUUAAUUUUUUGACUAUCGUUAUUCAACACUAUAAUAUAUAUAUACAGAGAGAGAGUAUGGUGAAAUAAUAUUCCUUUUCAAUUGUGUGAUCAGUUGGUCAAGCGGUAAAAUAGUUAAUGUAUAAAGUUAAUUGUUUCGGGUUUGAGUCCACCGUGAAGUGAUCUUUUUUUUUUCUACUAUUAAUUUAUAAAGGGGCGUUUACUUUGAAGGAUUAACUUUGAUAGAUAAAGAUAGUAUGACUAAUCUCUUAUUUACUUUGAUGGAUUGAAACUUUGAGAUAUCUCAAAGUCUUGAUUAUUUCUAUCAUUGAAUUAGUUUUGCUUGAUUUUUUUUUUUGAUAAAUUAUACUCACUUCGUCCACAAAAAAUAGUCUUAGUAAGGGACGACACGAGUUUUUAAUCAAAAUGGUUAUUGUAUUGUGAGUAGAGAAAGGGUCCCACUUAAAAAAUAGUGUUUAUAAUGAUAAUUAAUUGUAUUAUGAGUGAAGAAUAUGGUCCAUCAUGUGAUAAAUAGUUUUUAAAAAUGAAAAAGAAUUAAUUUUUGUGAAUAUCUCAAAAUGACAAAAAAAAGACUACUCCCUCCGUCCACCAAUUCGUGUCAUAAUUUGUCAUUUUGGUAUGUCUGCCACUUCGUGUCCUACCCAUUUUCAUUAACUAUUCCUUAACAAGUAAAUCACUUUUUUUUUAAAGUCGUACCAUCUUCUCAAUUCAACAAAUAAACAAUACAUUUUUUAAAAAACCCGUUCUCCCUUCCUCUGAGACACGAAUUGGUGGAUGGAGAGAGUAUUUUUUAUGGACAGAGAUAAAGAAAUUUGAAGAUCGCGUGAUGACGAACUCAAAUCUAGGACCUCAAGCUUUAGAUAUUGAUUCUUAUUCCAUUAAAAAUGUGAGAUAAAAUUGAUUUCAAUUUCAAAUUGAUUUCAAAUCAAUUUCAAAAUUGAAUGGCAAUUUUGUAGUUAAAAUAAAAUUGAAAGUUUAUUUAUAAGCUAUACAUCUUUUUUUUUAACUUCUUAUUUUUCUAUUUUAUUUCUUUUUUAAAAUUGUGAAAUUCGACUAAUUAUAAAAUAUUUGAUAUGCAUAUCAAACUAAAAAUCAUGAUAAGAGCUUUAAUUUGAUAUAUGUUAUGUAAAUAUUGGAUUUAAAAUAUAAAAAUUAUAUUUAUUUAAAGAUUAAAACUUAAGAAAUUCUCUCUUCUCUCUCCUCUUAUUUUUGAAAAAAUCUAUUUUUCUUCAAUUAUAUUUUAAUUUAUAUUAUUUUCUUUUUUCACAAUAUCAUUUUUUAUUAAUAAGAAUUAUUCUUUAUUAUUUUUAUAUUAAACUAAAAUAUAUUUAUCUUAAAUUAUACUAGUAUUUUUAAUUAUAUUUGAAUUUUUAUAUAAUAAUUAAAUGAUAAUUAAUUUUAUAUAUAAUAAAAUAUAAAAAUAUUUUUCGUGUUUUGCACGAAUGCAGAUGCUAAUUAUAUUCUUAAAAUUAAAAAUACUCAAUCAUGUAAAGUAAAGUAUCACCCAUAAAACAAAAAAAAAUCUUCUUUAAUUUGUUCAUUUUGUUGUGUGAGGGUUUAACUAUUGUUCCGUACUUGGGGUAACUAUUGUUUCGUAGACAAAUCACACAAAAUUCCAAUGGAGUAAAUGACAAUCAUAACAAGUCACAUGUUGCUUUAAAUUUCAUCGAGGCCACUAAUUUGUAAUUACGACAAAAUUCAAUUAAUUCAAUUCACGGUAUUUGAACUUGUUCUUAUCUUUAUAAAAGUCUUGUUCCUUUUCAUUUCCCCUUAACAUAUUUGUCAAGUAAAUUUGUGCAAGGAACAUAAUAUAUAUUCAUUCAUAAACAAUAGUACUUGACGUUAUAUAUAAAUUAUUUCAAAUGUUUUAGAUCAUCAUGAUAUAUAAAUUGAGUUAUGGCCAAAAAAUUACCGCGGUUGGAAAAUUAAUGUGGUGUGAACCACACUAAUGUAAAAUCGGGAUCGUUUCUGACGAAAAAUGAGUCCAGGACAAAACGAUAAAAAUGAACCCUCUAUUCACCAUCAUAAAAACACAAAAAACACUUUUUUAAAAUCAUAUUAUAAUAUAUUGACAAAAAAGUAUUAAUAAUUAUAAAAAAAUGACUAGUUCUUGCCUUUUUUUUACUUGCUGAAAUAGAAAUUUUAUUAAAAGAAAGAAGAAAA
Molecule: long non-coding RNA, 41624 nt
Filed under: Salvia miltiorrhiza (redroot sage)
Lineage: Eukaryota; Viridiplantae; Streptophyta; Magnoliopsida; Lamiales; Lamiaceae
Description: long non-coding RNA (SMIL_LNC004737)
Rfam family: small nucleolar RNA snoR116 (bases 1301-1387)
Source: RNAcentral